CGCGGUAUCCUAACCGUGCAAAGGUAGCAUAAUCAUUUGUCUAUUAAUUGUAGACCUGUAUGAAAGGUAAAAUGAGAAUCCAACUGUCUCUUAUAAUAAAUCAAUAAAACUGAUCUCCUAGUAAAAAAGCUAGAAUACCAACAUAAGACCAGAAGACCCUGUGAAGCUUUAACAAACCCAUUAAAUCAAAUAAUGAUUACUUUCGGUUGGGGCGACCUUGGAAUAAAAAAGAACUUCCAACAUAUGACCUAUCAUAAAACAAGGCAAACAAGCCAAUACUAGACCCAGUCAUAACUGAUAAUUGAAAUAAGUUACUCCAGGGAUAACAGCGCUAUCUUCUUCAAGAGCCCAUAUCAAAAAGAAGGUUUACGACCUCGAUGUUGGAUCAGGACAUCCCAGUAAUGCACCCGUUACUAAAGGUUCGUUUGUUCAACGAUUAACAGUCCUACGUGAUCUGAG
This 459-nucleotide ribosomal RNA is filed under the name Trimeresurus sumatranus (Sumatra pit viper). RNAcentral's name for it is "partial 16S large subunit ribosomal RNA". It matches the Rfam family "Bacterial large subunit ribosomal RNA", at positions 1932 to 2609 of the family's 2925-position model. Lineage: Eukaryota; Metazoa; Chordata; Lepidosauria; Squamata; Viperidae. The record is from RNAcentral.